AAUUCUCAACCAUACAAGUUUUUGUUAAUUUGUAUGGAUUGGAUCAUGGGAUUUGCGGGCUUUCACAAGUCGGCUAUCCUCAAAUGCAUUAGCAGAGCUUUUGCCGCUAGCUAUUAGUGUGAUAAUUAUCAACGCUGUUAGCGAGUGGCAUGAAUGGAGCUUCGCUUCUAAUCGUCUUCACAGACAACUUUGACA
RNAcentral lists this unclassified non-coding RNA (195 nucleotides) under uncultured fungus. RNAcentral's name for it is "sequence contains ITS2". The record is from RNAcentral. Lineage: Eukaryota; Fungi.